Nerophis ophidion (straightnose pipefish) is the source of this 3543-nucleotide RNA transcript. It is a transcript of the gene named synaptonemal complex central element protein 3, with no coding region annotated. NCBI's taxonomy places the organism in Eukaryota, Metazoa, Chordata, Actinopteri, Syngnathiformes, Syngnathidae. The record is from RefSeq and is a predicted model, not a curated record. The transcript has 8 exons.
UUUAAGGGGGGGAACUUGCGCAAUUGGUUGCUGACUAAAUACUUUUUGCCCCACUGUACAUUCAUAUAUGUUCAUUUAUAAUGUGGUCUUUACCUGACCUUUUGGAAUAUAUUACAAAACAUAAACCAAUGGACCUAGUGACAGAAAUACACAAACAUAAAACAAUUCUAAACAUAUUCUGCUUUUUUUUUUUUUUUUACCAUUUUUGGAAUAAUUUAACUGGAGUAUGCACAUACACAGUAGGGCAAAAGACACAAAAUAAACAUUUCACAAGUUGUGGUACCUAAGAGAGAUGGGGUACCGAUUGGCUGUCAAUGUUACGCAAAUAAAAUCACUUUUGGCAAUACUCGUCAAGGCCAACAAUCACACAGUUGUAUCUGACAAAUUGUCAGGCAUUUGUGUCGUUAAAACCAGUUUAACUUUUCAUAGUGUUAUGAUCAAUAUAAGCUUUUAAAACAUUUAGCAUGUCUUAAUGUGCCUCAUUUUUAGGACCAGAAACAGUAUGAACAUUACAUCCGAUCACUGCGACCAAAACGAUCAUUUCAACGAUCAACAAUGCGCGUGCAUCAUAAAGUCAUUUAAUUAUAGCGAUUGCGCCUCUCCCCAAUAAUGACACGCCACAUUGCGCGAUAAUUAUUUUGUACAGAAUACACUCAAAGUUCAAUAUAGUGCAGUCCAAUAUAGCACGACAUUCUAUGUAACGUGAUCGUGCCGUGGACCCCGAAUUUUCAAUACAGAGUCAAUCGCGUUGUUUUUCAGCAAAUUAUCACGUAUUUACGAACUUACUCAGUAGAUCUUAAUGAAAGUCUCAAAAUAGAAGGUAUUAAGGAUUCCAAAAAUGUUUUUUUUAAAUUAACUACCUACAAAUAACAAAAUAUUGACUGGUGCAUAGUAAUGACAUGGGAGCACAAUCCACCAUUCAUGUCACGUGGGGGCAUUAUCCAUCCAGCAGGUUUAGGCAGCUAAACUAAGCGCAUAACUUUUUCAACAAGAAAAAGGUAAGAAAUAAGGGUUUCUAUAAAGCGCGAUCUCGGAAAUAAUGUGAUCGGUAUUUUAUGGACCCAAUGACCACAUUAUAUCCAACUUUGAGUGUAUCCUUCCAUUUUCUACCGCUUAUUCCCUUUCGGGGUCGCGGGGGGUGCUGGCGCCUAUCUCAGCUACAAUCGGGCGGAAGGCGGGGUACACCCUGGACAAGUCGCCACCUCAUCGCAGGGCCAACACAGAUAGACAGACAACAUUCACACUCACAUUCACACACUAGGGCCAAUUUAGUGCUGCCAAUCAACCUAUCCCCAGGUGCAUGUCUUUGGAAGUGGGAGGAAGCCGGAAUACCCGGAGGGAACCCACGCAUUCACGGGGAGAACAUGCAAACUCCACACAGAAAGAUCCUCAGCCUGGAAUUGAACCCAGGACUGCAGGACCUUCGUAUUGUGAGGCAGACGCACUAACCCCUCUACCACCGUGAAGCCAUACUUUGAGUGUACAGUAACUCAAAAACAGUAACUCAAAAUAAGUCCACAACACAAAUAUUCAACAAAGUGAAGGAAAUUAGCGCACCUAUUGUAUGACUACCAGCCGGGGUGUUCAGAUAAAACGUCUUCAUUUACAAUAGGAUAUCGGUACGAAUCAUAGCAGAUACAAUUAUUAUUUUGUAGUGUGAAAUGUCAGAAAAGACAAGUGAAAUGACUACAACGGAGAAAAAUAUUUGGUAUGUAAAACACAAACCUUUUUAUUACUAACCGUUUAGAAUGGACUUAUGUUGUCUUUAAAUUGAACUGGAGUAGUAAUUGGUUUGAUGGUGACUCUUCAUGGCCAUAAUAAUUCCUUAAGUUGAGGUCAGGACAGAGUAAAUUGAAUAAUGCACACACAAAUACUCACGCUCCUGCCUUUGAGACCUUAUGAGCGUAAGUACUUUGUAAAUAUAAUUAUUUGAUACUUGUUUAUAUUAACAAAUGUUGUGUUUUAGGCCGAAAUAUUGUUCAAUAAUUAGGUGCUCUAGUGUGUUUAGCUGUUGCGUAGCUGCUGGUAGCUUAUAGCCUAUACCAUGUUUGCCUUCUGUAAAUGACUUCACUAAAAUACAAGAAAGCACAAACUAAAUGCAAUGCAGUACUGAUUGUAUUUUUGCUAAAAUCGGACCAAUAUCAGAUUGGUUUGUUAUCUAUUCACUUCUACAGUUGAACUACUUUUGUCUCUACUUAUGUGCUUAUUGUUCAAUUGAUCCAUUUGUGGAUGAGUGUUGAAACUUACCGGAGUGCAUAGAGAACCGUCCCGUUACUAAAGAUGCGUAUGAGGCGGUUCUCCACCGUCACGUCAUGCAGGAAUGAUCGCUUGGAGUCUGGAAUGAAAGUGUCCGGGAUCCAGAGCAGCGACACCAGGCGUCCAUCCACGCUGACGCUCUCAUUCCCUGGGAACACCAGCCUGGAAUCACGCCAGCGCUGGCGGAGGAAAAUUGUUGCUGUGUAGUCCUUGGAAAGAAACACAUUGAGAUGGCAUCGAUGCUUGCGAUGUCAAGACUCAUGCCAAUUUCCACCGGACCUUCUGUCAGAGAGACAUGAGAAGCUUCUGCAUACAAAAGCAAUAUGUGAGUAAUACUGUUGAAGAAGAAGACUAGUCCUACCAUUGAAAUUGGGUCUCAGGUAGCGGUUAUGGAUCGGAGUUGUCUCACCAGAGUGUGAAGGUCAUGGCCAGGAUCACUGGCGUGUGCAGCUGGAUGAACAUUGUGGACCAGCAGCUGAUGAAGACAAAUCUGCAUAUUUACAGAAUUUUAAGGGACUCCCCACAGGCCGGAUUUUGGACGCUGGCGGGCAGAGUUUGGCCCACGGGCCGUAGUUUGGGAACCUCUGUGCUACAGCGUGGAGCCUAUUGGGUUGUCUUCACUUCACUAGAAAGUUCUCUUCACGAAGGACGUCUGCCUGCCUGGACCAAAAAGCUCUUAGUAUGGAUAACAGAAAACUGGAGCAAUCUUCCUCAAACACCUGCGUUGAUCUGGAAUACAUCCUAAAAGAGCUGGACUUACUGUCUGAUUGCAUGGAUCAACUAGCAUUGCAAAUACAGCUUAAGCUGUGUGAUCUGAUCGUUUCUGUCGGCCACCCUGACAAGCUGGGACACCUGAAAGUCCAGGAGGCACCGAAUCAGCUGCCGCAAGCUUCACCUGGAACUGAUGAAUGAAAAUCCAAGAUUUAAGCAUGAUGUGAGAGGACCUUAUUUACUUCUUUAAGAGCGGCAUCUCCACACCAGCUGGGAGCCCAAGUUUGAAACCACAGUACAACUAAGACCAGUAAAAGGACCUACAUAAAUAAACUUAACAAAUUGAUAAGGUACACGGCAUUGCCUUGACAAUAGCACCAUCUGCUGCUCAGUUUCUGAACGUGCUUGUAGUUAAACCAAUUCUUGGGAAUUUGAUUUAAAUGAAGUCUAUAUUUAUUUCCAGACGGUGAACAAUUACUCUAACGUUUACCUAGUAGUGCACAUAUGCAGUAGACUACAGCCUAACAUAAAAACUGCAUGAAAUGCAAAUUGCAAUAAAAUAAUAUAUUUCCCUAA